CAAUAGUAACUUUAAUAGAGCCCAACUGGGGUUGCAAAACCCUGCUAUCGCUCCCUAAACUCACAGGUAUUCCGGAAAUCCUGCUAUCUCUCCCAAAACUCACAGGUAUUCCGGAAACCCUGCUAUCGCUCCCUAAACUCACAGGUAUUCCGGAAACCCUGCUAUCGCUCCCUAAACUCACAGGUAUUCCGGAAACCCUGCUAUCUCUCCCAAAACUCACAGGUAUUCCGGAAAUCCUGCUCUCUCUCCCUAAACUCACAGGUAUUCCGGAAAUCCUGCUCUCUCUCCCUAAACUCACAGGUAUUCCGGAAAUCCUGCUCUCUCUCCCUAAACUCACAGGUAUUCCGGAAAUCCUGCUCUCUCUCCCUAAACUCACAGGUAUUCCGGAAAUCCUGCUCUCUCUCCCUAAACUCACAGGUAUUCCGGAAAUCCUGCUAUCUCUCCCAAAACUCACAGGUAUUCCGGAAACCCUGCUAUCUCUCCCUAAACUCACAGGUAUUCCGGAAACCCUGCUAUCUCUCCCUAAACUCACAGGUAUUCCGGAAACCCUGCUAUCUCUCCCAAAACUCACAGGUAUUCCGGAAACCCUGCUAUCUCUCCCAAAACUCACAGGUAUUCCGGAAACCCUGCUAUCUCUCCCAAAACUCACAGGUAUUCCGGAAACCCUGCUAUCUCUCCCAAAACUCACAGGUAUUCCGGAAAUCCUGCUAUCUCUCCCUAAACUCACAGGUAUUCCGGAAAUCCUGCUAUCUCUCCCAAAACUCACAGGUAACUCCUUAAAUCCUGGAUCGAAGAUUCCGGUUUCAUGCUUAAAAUCCCUUCUGAUUCUGUGAAUAUUUCAACCAGGAUUUCUGGAAAACCUGUGAUUUUUGCUAACCGUAGUCCAACACUAGGUUAUUCAGCGAGCUAAGGAAAACAGUUUGUAAUGUAGUAGUUGUAGUAAAUGGUUUUAGCCAGGUAACAUUUAAUUGAUCAUGUCCUGAGAGGCAGACCUGCAACUGGAAAGUCACUGGUUUGAAUCCCAAGUCUGAACGGAACAAUUCUGGUAGGCUUCCGGGUAUCCUAGACGCCGCCUCCUGCUGUUGUGCCCUUGAGCAAGGCACAGAUCCACUAAACUGCUCCAGGGACGCUUCAGUAACGGUGUUUCUCAGGGGUUGAAAAACAAGUUAAAAAAAGGGGCCAUUUUCCCACGACUUCAAAUCGUCGUGUUUCUGUCUGUAGAAAGAUUGUAUUCAAUAUUUUUAAAUAAUAAAAUGUUUGAUUCUUCCAUUUUCUUAAUGUUGGAGUAUAAUUUGACUUCCAGUAUUUAAGUAAAAUAAUAUUGUCCAACCCAUUGGUUAUCUAACGUUAUCUAAUAUGCCAUGUCUUGAAAUAUGCAUAUAGACGGAUUCAAAGUAAACUUACAUUGUAAAACCUCUUGACAGUCAGAUUUCUAACUCUGCC
Long non-coding RNA from Oncorhynchus keta (chum salmon), 1443 nucleotides. RefSeq lists it as uncharacterized. NCBI's taxonomy places the organism in Eukaryota, Metazoa, Chordata, Actinopteri, Salmoniformes, Salmonidae. The transcript is spliced from 3 exons. The record is from RefSeq and is a predicted model, not a curated record.